This 265-nucleotide ribosomal RNA is filed under the name uncultured prokaryote. Its description in RNAcentral is "partial 16S ribosomal RNA". It matches the Rfam family "Bacterial small subunit ribosomal RNA", at positions 524 to 788 of the family's 1533-position model. The record is from RNAcentral.
UACGGAGGAUCCAAGCGUUAUCCGGAUUUAUUGGGUUUAAAGGGUGCGCAGGCGGAAGAUUAAGUCGGCGGUGAAAUUUUGCAGCUCAACUGUAAAAGUGCCAUCGAUACUGGUUUUCUUGAGUGUGGAUGAAGUAGGCGGAAUUUGUGGUGUAGCGGUGAAAUGCAUAGAUAUCACGAGGAACUCCGAUUGCGCAGGCAGCUUACUAAACUACUACUGACGCUCAGGCACGAAGGCGUGGGGAUCAAACAGGAUUAGAUACCCG